UGCAGUGUUAAUCUGAUCUUGAUCCUUCAGCUCUGUGUGGCACAAUGACCAAGUUCUUGGCUGCUAUGCCCCACCCCUUUUCUAGAUUUCUUCUAAAUUUCAAAUUUUUUUUAUUCUCCUGAAAACCAACUCUUCCUCUGCCAUUAAAAAUAUAUUUCUUUUGCAUAAGCUAUCAUCUUUUUAUCCUCCUUGUUUCUUUUGUUAAAUAGAUACCUUUAUAAUUUUUUUUCUGAUUCUCUCUUCUCUCAUCAGUUCUAGGCUCAAUCCCCAUUGAACUUUAUCCUCUUCAUUGGACAUGUUGUGAUUUCAGUCUCCUUGGGAACUUUCAUGUCUGGUUUCUCUUCCUGGACCCCUUUCCUACUCUUCUUCCUUUUUCAUCCUUAACCUGACUGUGGAAGAUUAUUGCAAUAAUGUUCUGAUCACUCUUUCCUCGAUCUUUUCUCUCUCUCAUCUUAUCUUUUGGUGCUACUUAUGAAGUUCUUUUGGCUGGGUCAUGCUACCAUUCCAAUUUUGCUUUGUCUAGGUAUGGAAGAGUGAAGUUGAAGAAUGAGUCUCCGUGCUGUGCAUUUUUGAAUGAUCCCUGCGAACACUGUGACAAUUAUUAUCCCUGUGCAACGUGACGUAAUCACAACGUGUUUGCCUGCAGAGGGAACCAGUCUGCAAGGUAUCUAGUCAUAUACACCAUUGACAGUGGGCCACAUCCACUGUAAAGGACUAAAAGCAUAGGAAAAAAAUAAAAUAGAUUGCAUUUGAGUAAAAUUGAACCAAAUCCCAUCCUUAUGACUCCAGGAACUUCUCAUUACCUAGAUUUGUUGGACUGGUAAGGGCAAGCUGUGUAUAUAGUCCUAGUCCUUUAGGUAGCUCUGCAGGUACACAUGUGCCCCUUGAAUUUAA
RNAcentral lists this long non-coding RNA (894 nucleotides) under Pan troglodytes (chimpanzee). Its description in RNAcentral is "lncRNA (ENSPTRG00000053645.1)". The record is from RNAcentral. Lineage: Eukaryota; Metazoa; Chordata; Mammalia; Primates; Hominidae.